Molecule: signal recognition particle RNA, 97 nt
Filed under: Rhodospirillaceae bacterium
Lineage: Bacteria; Pseudomonadati; Pseudomonadota; Alphaproteobacteria; Rhodospirillales; Rhodospirillaceae
Description: signal recognition particle sRNA small type
Rfam family: Bacterial small signal recognition particle RNA
About the family: The signal recognition particle (SRP) is a universally conserved ribonucleoprotein involved in the co-translational targeting of proteins to membranes. Archaeal SRP consists of a 7S RNA and homologues of the eukaryotic SRP19 and SRP54 proteins.
Source: RNAcentral
GAAGAUUGGCUUCGGACAGUUUCCUCGCCAACUCGGUCAGGUCCGAAAGGAAGCAGCCGUAACGAGAUUAAACUGGGUCGAUAGUUCAGUCUUCCAC